AAGUUCUCCUGUAGUCACCUCCCAUCUCCUAGGAGGAAUGUAGGAUUUCAGAUGGGCUUUUUUUGUUGUUGUUAAAAUAUUUGUUUAUUUAUUUAUUAUAUGUAAGUACACUGUAGCUGUCUUCAGACACUCCAGAAGAGAGCAUCAGAUUCGUUACGGAUGGUUGUGAGCCACCAUGUGGUUGCUGGGAUUUGAACUCAGGACCUUUGGAAGAGCAGUCGAUGCUCUUAACCACUGUGCCAUAUCACCAACCCUGCAGAUGGGCUUUCAAGCCUGUCUUUCACUGAGUUAGAUGCCAGCAUUCUAGAUGUCAGAUCCAUGUGGGGUUGGAAUUACAGAUACCUGAUGUGGACACCUGAUGGGGAUGUUGGGAACCAAAUGCAGGUGCUGUGACAGAGUAAGAAGUGCUGUGUGUCACUGAGCACUCCUCUAGCCGUCCUUACUGUAUAGACAUUUCUUUAUUUUUGGGAGAGGAUUUUGCAGUAUAGCUUUAGCUGGCUUGGAACUCCUAGUCCCCUUGCUUCAGCCUCCUGAAGGCUGGGAUACGAGGCCUUUGCCAAGAUGCCUGCUUUCUAAACCCUUCUGUAGAGUCUUUGAAGCCAGCAUUGCUGUUCUGAUGUCCACUUGUAGCAUCUGAUCAUGCCAGCCGCCUCUAAGCCGUUUGGAAGGCUUUGGGUUGCAGUUAGGUUGUUCCUUAGUUUUCCCAGUGACUGCCUCAGGACUCAUUCCACUGUUCAGCUGCCAUCUGCUUCCCAGCUUACAGAAUUUUCUGGCUCUGCUUUGCAUUUUUAGAUGGUUUGGGCAAGAAGUGACAAUAAGAUGUGUUUGUCCAGUCUGUCAUCUUUUAGCAGAAAUCUGCAAUUAGUUUCUUUUUCUGUUUUGGAGACGGUCUUCUGUAGCCCAGGCUGGUGUUAGACUCCAUCCCUCUGCCUCAGCCCCCUGGGUUAGCAGCACACGGCUAUCUGUGAGACUCAGUGUGUGAUGCAGCUUGGGUUUCAUGUGUGAGUGUGCUGUUGCACACUGGGUGCUCACUGACCUUGCUGUUUAAGUUCCUACAGCCACAGUGUGGUGGGGAUGUGUGGUAAGCGUCAGGAGCUGGAGUUUUUAGUGCGUAUUUGAUUUUUGUCCUUAGGAUAAUUGGCCCCCCCCC
RNAcentral lists this long non-coding RNA (1150 nucleotides) under Mus musculus (house mouse). RNAcentral's name for it is "long non-coding RNA chr2:164091211-164092361". Lineage: Eukaryota; Metazoa; Chordata; Mammalia; Rodentia; Muridae. The record is from RNAcentral.